CGGAGCUCCCGUAUUCCGUCCCCUUCCCCGUACGUAUUCCGCUUCGUACCCUUUCGUCCCCUUUUGCUCUCACUUCCGACAGCCGACCGUGGUCCGCGGGGAGCGAAGGCAUCGAGUGAAUCCAGCGACCGCCCUCUGCUCCCAUCGCCGCACUUCCCCGUCCCUUCCCGCCGCUCACUUUGCCACCGCAGCCAAGCAGGCAGCUAUUGCACAAGCUCAAGAUUGAAUCAGAUCAGGCCUAGGCCAUGGCCUGGAGCAGGUGUGGCGCCACCCCCGUCAUAGAUGCCGGCCCUCUCCAAUCUCAAGACCACCUCCGCCUCCUGGUUUUGCUCCUCCUGCUUGCUGACCUUGACCCCUCCCUGUUCGAUCCAGUUUGUUUCUUCGUUCUUCUAAUUUGUUGUCUGCUGAUUGGAUUUGUUCUCAGACCAAAUUGAGGCGACGCCGCCUACAUCACCGACGAGGCAACGGUCGCGGCGGCCGCCGACGCCUAGACCGUGGCCACCGUGGCGGCUGUCGCCGGCGGCGACUUGGCUUCCUGGCAGCGCCUUCGCGCGUGUUCCCUGCUAGUAUAGCCGCAGUAGAAGCUAAGCAGCAGCAGAGGCGGACGCAGACGCCGUGCUGCUGAUCACAAAAUUGAGGCGGUCAACUAUUCUACAGCUGAAAGACGACAGAUCUCACAGGCCUUGAGCUGACCGUAGUUUUUUGAGACGUACUACUAAUGAAACUGUUUGGUGUAUGCUGCUACUAUAAGCAUUUCCUUCAUUAAGUAUUGGUGAGAACUCUGCUCACGCCCGCCGAGGUCGCCUUGCUCCUCAACAUGCUCAACAACAUGAGGCCAGAAGACGUGGGUCAACAGUGUCAACGCCGGCAUUGUCACAGUGAUCAACUACAGUUCUGCUUGUGAGGGGUAGAGGUACCAAUGGAUUGUCGCAGACUUGAGUCGUAAUUUGCUAAAUAGGGGUGUACAAGAUUGGCCGGAGCUCCCAUAUGACCCUAUGCAGGUAAAUAGCAAAGCUUAGGUCCCAGAGGAUUGAAAAUGAGAAAAAGUUAAAAAGAAGACUUCUUUUACCAUUUGGGUUGGGUUGUACUGUGGUAGAUACCCAGGCAUUUGGUUUGCGGAAGGCAUUUCAGGUCGUACUUGUAAAGAAUUGGCUGUCUUCUUUUUCUUCUUCGUUUUUGCUUUCUCUGAGCCACCAACAGAUCUUGCUGAUUCUGGUAUAAUACUUUCUCCCAAAUGACCCUGAGAAGAUUAAUAGCAAAGCUUAGCGUCAUUGUAGUUUGAAAAAGAGAGAAAGUUAUAUGGGUAGACUUUUUAUACCAUUAACAUUGGGUUAUGCAUAGGCAUCUGAUUUGUGAAAGGCAUUUUUCUCCCAAAUGACCCUAAGAAGAUUAAUAGCAUUACUCAUCCUGGCUUGCUCGUUGGCCCGGACGAGCUCAGCACGAAGGGUCUCAACCGCGGCAGCACUAUCUGCAGUUAUGCAUAUCUUAGUAUAUAAAUCUCAGCUUCAUGCUCAUAUUAUUAUACAUAUAUAUACUGACUGCCCCACAACAUACCUUGCACCUCGUCAAGCCGCCUGUUAAUAAGUGUGAUGUCGUCAUCCGCCACAUCAAGUUUCUGCUUCAGACCUGCAACCUCUGUAGCAUGGGCAGUCGCCAUGGAUGAGACAACCUGUGUUCCAGUUAAUUAGAUUAUUUCCUGGGCAUAUCUUUUUUUGAUCCUCUGAUCGCCUCCUUUUGGAUGCCCAUCAGAGUCUCAGGGGCUACUACCUAUACACAGGUGCAUUUUUGCACGUAGAGUGCAACUGAAAAUAUUACAUUGCAUACCUCGAAGCCUCUUAGCAGGCCCGUGAAGGCUUCAUUCAAUCUGCUUCUCGCGGACAAAAUCCUCUCAACUAUCGUACCCAUUAAGGUACGAUGUUCCUCUGAGAUGGACGCAUGUCGCAACAUGUCCAUCAAUGUAUCCGGUGCCACCCGAUUCCUAGAAGCGGCGGUGGGAGUGCGGACUCCCUUCGAAGGGAUAUGUUUACUCGACACUAGAGUCGUCUCCGUCUGUAAACCGGAUAGUCCGGGGCCUUUAUUGCUAGUCCCAGAAGGGGCCGCACACCCCGGACCUUGGACUACCGAAGUAUCACCUUCGGGAGUGGUCCUCAUUGUCCCUCGCACCACUUGUUGAUCAGGAGAAAUCCUCCGGGAAGACACCUCAAAUCGUCUGCCCUAUUGGGUGAGAAGGUCUAUGGAGGCGUCUCGCUUUCCAUCAUCUCCGGAAGAAGAACCCCCGAGGAGGAGGACUAUUGAGGAAGACCGCGUGCCGGGCUGCAAACAUAUAUUUUAGAUGUUACCCUUGUAAGUGGAAAGGAACAGGAUAUGUUAAGGACACCCUUGUUCACUUAUGAUUCGGCUAAGGGCUUGUCCUUACGGAGGAAUUGCGCGACAACGUCGUCUUCCAGACCCGAACUGCCUAACAAGGAGAUCUUCCCUCGCUUAGGAGCCUUUACCUCCAAAUCUUCAGAGGCAGUCGUCUUCUUCCCAUGGGGGAAAGGGAUGUCAGCUUCUCCUUCUCUUUUGUCUUCGUAAGAGGGAGUUCCAAUCUCCCUGGACAGAGUGUCUGGUGUACAUUUAGAAUGGAGGACACCUUUGGCCUUCUUGCUCUCCUCCUUGUCCUCCUUUGCCGGCACUUGAUACGGCGCCAGAGCCAGCAUCCUUGUUAAUACAGGAUUAGCUGAGUCCUCGGGAAGAGGGGCCAAACACCGAAUUCGUUCCUCCUUCUUUAUCCAGCCUUGUUCGAAGAUUGUUUUCUCAGUAUUACGGGAUAUUUAACUUAGCUAUGUUUGGGAGUCGAGUGCUUACCGAGGUAUCCGGAUGGUUGCAGUCGAGGCCGAUGUCUUCGGUGGUAUCCGGCCACUGUUUUCGUGUCCCGAAGAAUAACUUCCACAUUCCUCUGUGCAUCAUGCCAAAGAAGUGCUGAAGGGUCCGUGGUCCUUUCGAAUGGAACUCCCACAUGUGGAGAGGCCGUCGCUGGCACGACAGGACCCGGCGGACUAGCAUUACCUGGAUUACAUUGAUGAGGCCGGUGUCCUUUUCGAGGAGGCUCCGGAUGCGGCUUUGUAGCGUCUGCACGUCGUCAAUUGAUCCCCAGUCCAGUCCCUUAUUAAUACAUGAUGCAAGCCGUAAUGGAGGGCCAGAUCGGAACGCAGGUGUAGCUGCCACUAGGUACCACGGGGUUCAGUGAUGUAAAACCACUCCCGCUGCCAUAGGUUGGAAGUUUCCGUGAAAGAGCCUUUUGGCCAAAGAGUAUUGGUGAGCUUGUUCACCGUAGCACCACCACACUCUACUUGCUUCCCCUCGAUUACCUUCGGCUUCACAUUAAAGGUCUUGAGCCAUAAGAUGAAGUGUGGGGGAAUGCAAAGAAAGGCCUCGCACAUGACAAUGAACGCCGAGAUGUGAAGAAAGGAGUCCGGAGCUAGAUCGUGAAAAUAUAGCCCGUAAUAGAACAUGAGUCUGAACGAAGGGAUGGAGAGUGAACCCUAUCCCCCGGAGGAAGUGGGAGAUGAAUACGACCCUCUUGCCAGAUCUGGGAGUAGGAAUAACCUGUCCUUUAGCAGGGAGCCUAUGGGGGAUUUCCGCGGUCAGGUAUCUUGCCACCUGGAGCUCCGCGAUAUCCUCCUCUGUGACAGUGGAGGCCACCCACCGGCCUUGAAGGCUGGGUCCAGACAUGACUGGGAGGCUUAGAGCAAUUAAUUUGAAACCUGGGUGCUGGGACUCGAGGUUGGAAAGGUUGGAGUAGAGGUAGGCGUAGAGGAGAAAUAUGGGUCUGUGCCCCUUUAUAAAGGCGAUGAAUAUCAAAUGCCUCCUCAUAAUCCUUAAAGCUUGCCUAUUCCCAAGGGAUCAUGCCAACGAAAUGGUUGGGUUACCCACGCCUGUAUUGAUGAGAAUCCCACAUUAAGGGGACAUGAUCUCUGCUUCGACAAGACAUGCCAAUAAAACCGCAUCUUGAAACGUGGAGCGAGAGGCUAAAGAAACAACGGUUCAAAGUAAUGACCGGGAAGGGACGUGAUGUCGCGCUACAAACGUUGUCAGCAAAUUGGACUCAUGAAAUAUUAUACUCUCUGCGGUUGUGUGUGGUAUUUGU
This is a long non-coding RNA of Triticum urartu, 4129 nucleotides long. RefSeq lists it as uncharacterized. The record is from RefSeq and is a predicted model, not a curated record. NCBI's taxonomy places the organism in Eukaryota, Viridiplantae, Streptophyta, Magnoliopsida, Poales, Poaceae.